This 492-nucleotide ribosomal RNA is filed under the name uncultured bacterium. RNAcentral describes it as "partial 16S ribosomal RNA". It matches the Rfam family "Bacterial small subunit ribosomal RNA", at positions 29 to 507 of the family's 1533-position model. The record is from RNAcentral.
AGUGAACGCUGGCGGUAGGCCUAACACAUGCAAGUCGAACGGCAGCACAGUAAGAGCUUGCUCUUACGGGUGGCGAGUGGCGGACGGGUGAGGAAUACAUCAGAAUCUACUUUUUCGUGGGGGAUAACGUAGGGAAACUUACGCUAAUACCGCAUACGACCUACGGGUGAAAGCAGGGGAUCUUCGGACCUUGCGCGAUUGAAUGAGCCGAUGUCGGAUUAGCUAGUUGGCGGGGUAAGGGCCCACCAAGGCGACGAUCCGUAGCUGGUCUGAGAGGAUGAUCAGCCACACUGGAACUGAGACACGGUCCAGACUCCUACGGGAGGCAGCAGUGGGGAAUAUUGGACAAUGGGCGCAAGCCUGAUCCAGCCAUACCGCGUGGGUGAAGAAGGCCUUCGGGUUGUAAAGCCCUUUUGUUGGGAAAGAAAAGCAGCAGGUUAAUACCCCGCUGUUCUGACGGUACCCAAAGAAUAAGCACCGGCUAACUUCGUG